Mytilus californianus (California mussel) is the source of this 778-nucleotide long non-coding RNA. RefSeq lists it as uncharacterized. The record is from RefSeq and is a predicted model, not a curated record. Lineage: Eukaryota; Metazoa; Mollusca; Bivalvia; Mytilida; Mytilidae. The transcript has 3 exons.
CUAAUAAGUAACCAGACUGCACUGUUUAAUGUUAUCUAAGAUGGGAAUGGAGCCAUCUACACUUAUCAUCAGUUAUUGUUUAGAGUAGCCAACAGUGAGGUACAUUUUGAGAUACAUUUUAUGAACUACAUAUCAGAGCUUCCAGAAAUUUGUUAUCUGAAGCUUCAUGUAAACAUGUAAUACCUUCUGAUGCCUGUUCAGAUUCAUUCCUUAUCCAAUGGUUGAAUAUACCUCCUGUUUAAAGAAAAGACCACAGUAAUCAUGGUAACAGAUUGAUGAAGCUGUGACAGCAGCAGCCAUGGGAAUCAUCAGUAUAAUAUUUAUUAAAGAUGUAUUAGAAGUCUUGAAGCUAUUCCUUGUGAAUGUAGUAGAAAGAUCAGGGGUAUCAAAAGAUGAACUCUACAGACGAGUCAAUAACUCUAAUCUUAGAUACUUGUCACUCAAAACAAAGACAGAUCUUGAUGGUGCAAUCAUUAAGGGGGAUGCUGCUGACAUUAUAGAAAUUAAUACUUUGAUUAUACAUUUAAAUAUUGCAUCAGAUUUUGAAAAAGGUUCAGAAUUUGAGGGAAAAUUAUAUGAUGAUGUGAGAGCUGUAAGAAGAAUAAGAAAUAAUUUAAAGCAUACUGUUAGACCAUUAUCAAAUGAGGAAUGCGAUUCAUACUUAGAGGAGCUUAAGGAUCUGGCAGGCAAGUUUGAAAGCCAUUUAAAUGCUGCACCAGACGAAUAUCUUCACCUUGUCCAUGAAAUUAGUAACAAGAGAAGGCAACAUCUUAUUUGG